GACCAGCUACGAAACACCAAAAAUAACUGCUUGGUGCACUGAUAAUUGCGUUAUUCUCUGCUUUUCCACCACUCGCAUUAGCUCUGGGGGAAGGAAACAUCCUGCUUCCCUAAGUCGAACACUUUAUUGCCAACCUGAAACGAUUUCAGGAUUGGCUUCCAGAGGUGGAAGCAGCACAGCCGCGUGCACAGCGUUGCAAGUGUGCAGACAGCGGGCUCUCAGCAUCCUGCAAUUCUCCUCAAGGUGAGACCUUCCCAGCCCCCGGCCCCAGCCCACGUGUGGACCCCUGGUUACCCCCAUGCUCCGGUGUUGCCCAGUGCAGGCCUGGAGCAGCCAGGGAGCCACAGGGACCUGAAACAACACGCGUCUGUGUGUGACUCAGCCGGGGCUUCCCCGCAGCCUCUGGGCGCAGGAAGUUUACCUGGGAGGGGAGGCUGGAGAGGAGCCGGGGGGGAGAGGCAGGGGGCUGCAGACCCCGGGAGACCUGUCCAGCCGCUGGACAGUAUGGGCAGCUCUGGGGCCAGGACGAGGAGUCUGAGUGCAGGCAGGAGCUCCUUCUGCAGCCCAGCAAAUCCUCCACUGGUCUGGGUGAUCAGAGGGGGCGCCUGCCCGCGGGGCUCACAGUGGCGUCCGUCCAGACUGUGCCUGCAGCCACCUCAACAGCCUUCAGGUCAGAUGGGCCACCUCUUCUGAUUGAGGCAACAGGAGGGUGAGCUGAUAGGUCCUCACCCCACGCUUGGCAAAUGCCAAGGGCCCGUCCCUGCAAACAAAGAACCAAGGUCAGUGGGUCAGGGAGGGAGGAAGAGCCUCCCUGAAACUGCCCCAGCUCCGCCCCUGGAUAGUGGGGGGCCAGGUCCACAAAGCUCCCGCCCCCGAAAAGACAGAGGUAACCGGCUCCCGGGAAGCAAGCGGCUGCCUGCCUGCCGGGGGCACAGAGGAGCUGCUGCCGGCUUGGCCUGGCGGGUCCGCACCUGAUGGGUCAGUAAUCCGGAGGGUGAGCCCCCUUCGUCUGUUCCUCAGAGAACAGGGCCACCCUUUCUGGCUUCACGGUAGCAGGAAGGCGUUCUGGGCCAGGUCUGGAUUGACAGCAGCUGCCUGGGGGUUAGGUUGAAGGCAGAACACUGAUUUCAGGCCAGGUCCUCUCUGCCGAGGAGGCAGUAGAAUUUUCUGGAAGCUUCUGAAUGCAGGUCCCAGGCCGGCUCUGCAGGCCGAAGAGUGCUGGGCACCCGGAGCUGGGACGCAGGUGGGCUGCCGUGGGGCACAGCCAGGGCAUUCUCUGCAGCAGCCGGCUGUUAGGGGGAAGCCGAACCAAAGGGGGGGGGUUCCUGGGCCCCGGGCCUGGGCCCUGCUCCUGGGUCCUCCCCAGGUGGGCUCUGGGGCCUCCGCUGAGCCCCCAGGUCAGGGUCAGGGCGUGGCAUCCUGUGCAAAGAGCUGGGGGGUCCUAACUG
RNAcentral lists this long non-coding RNA (1448 nucleotides) under Sus scrofa (pig). RNAcentral's name for it is "lncRNA (ENSSSCG00025019120.1)". The record is from RNAcentral. Lineage: Eukaryota; Metazoa; Chordata; Mammalia; Artiodactyla; Suidae.